GACGAACGCUGGCGGCGUGCCUAAUACAUGCAAGUUGAGCGAUGAAGAUUGGUGCUUGCACCAAUUUGAAGAGCAGCGAACGGGUGAGUAACGCGUGGGGAAUCUGCCUUUGAGCGGGGGACAACAUUUGGAAACGAAUGCUAAUACCGCAUAACAACUUUAAACAUAAGUUUUAAGUUUGAAAGAUGCAAUUGCAUCACUCAAAGAUGAUCCCGCGUUGUAUUAGCUAGUUGGUGAGGUAAAGGCUCACCAAGGCGAUGAUACAUAGCCGACCUGAGAGGGAGAUCGGCCACAUUGGGACUGAGACACGGCCCAAACUCCUACGGGAGGCAGCAGUAGGGAAUAUUCGGCAAUGGACGAAAGUCUGACCGAGCAACGCCGCGUGAGUGAAGAAGGUGUUCGGAUCGUAAAACUCUGUUGGUAGAGAAGAACGUUGGUGAGAGUGGAAAGCUCAUCAAGUGACGGUAACUACCCAGAAAGGGACGGCUAACUACGUG
RNAcentral lists this ribosomal RNA (497 nucleotides) under uncultured bacterium. RNAcentral describes it as "partial 16S ribosomal RNA". It matches the Rfam family "Bacterial small subunit ribosomal RNA", at positions 28 to 507 of the family's 1533-position model. The record is from RNAcentral.